RNAcentral lists this ribosomal RNA (1508 nucleotides) under uncultured prokaryote. RNAcentral's name for it is "partial 16S ribosomal RNA". It matches the Rfam family "Bacterial small subunit ribosomal RNA". The record is from RNAcentral.
AGGGUUUGAUCCUGGCUCAGAUUGAACGCUGGCGGUAUGCUUAACACAUGCAAGUCGAACGGCAGCAAAUACCUGCUUGCAGGUAUGUUGGCGAGUGGCGGACGGGUGAGUAACGCGUAGGAAUCAACCUUUUAGCGGGGGUCAACCUUAGGAAACUGAGGCUAAUACCGCAUAUACUCUACGGAGGAAAGCUGGGGAGCUCGAAAGAGUCCUCGUGCUAGAAGAUGAACCUGCGUUAGAUUAGCUUGUUGGUGGGGUAAAGGCCUACCAAGGCGAUGAUCUAUGGCUGUUCUGAGAGGAAGAUCAGCCACACUGGGACUGAGACACGGCCCAGACUCCUACGGGAGGCAGCAGUAGGGAAUAUUGCACAAUGGGCGAAAGCCUGAUGCAGCAAUGCCGCGUGUGUGAAGAAGGCCUGCGGGUUGUAAAGCACUUUUAGUAGGGAGGAAAAAGCAAUGCCAAAUACCAUUGUCUAUUGACGUUACCUACAGAAGAAGCACCGGCUAACUCUGUGCCAGCAGCCGCGGUAAUACAGAGGGUGCGAGCGUUAAUCGGAAUUACUGGGCGUAAAGAGUACGUAGGCGGUUAUUUAAGUCGGAUGUGGAAUCCCUGGGCUCAACAUGGGAAUUGCACUCGAAACUGGAUAACUAGAGUACAGCAGAGGAAAGUGGAAUAUCUACUGUAGCGGUGAACUGCGUAGAUAUUAGAAGGAACACCAGUGGCGAAGGCGACUUUCUGGGCAGAUACUGACGCUGAGGUACGAAAGCGUGGGGAGCAAACAGGAUUAGAUACCCUGGUAGUCCACGCCCUAAACGAUGAGAACUAGCUGUUGGAGGAAUAUAAUCCUUUGUGGCGAAGCUAACGCAAUAAGUUCUCCGCCUGGGGAGUACGGCCGCAAGGCUAAAACUCAAAGGAAUUGAGGGGGGCCCGCACAAGCGGUGGAGCAUGUGGUUUAAUUCGAUGAUACCCGAAAAACCUUACCUACUCUUGACAUCCUGAGAACUUUCUAGAGAUAGAUUGGUGCCUUCGGGAGCUCUGUGACAGGUGCUGCAUGGCUGUCGUCAGUUCGUGUCGUGAGAUGUUGGGUUAAGUCCCAUAACGAGCGCAACCCCUAUCCUUAGUUGCCAGCGAGUAAUGUCGGGGACUCUAGGGAGACUGCCGGUGAUAAACCGGAGGAAGGUGGGGAUGAUGUCAAGUCAUCAAGGCCCUUAUGGGUAGGGCUACACACGUGCUACAAUGGCUGGUACAGAGGGCUGCUAACUUGCGAGAGUACGCUAAUCCCUUAAAGCCAGUCCUAGUCCGGAUUGGAGUCUGCAACUCGACUCCAUGAAGCUGGAAUCGCUAGUAAUCGCGGAUCAGAAUGCCGCGGUGAAUUCGUUCCCGGGCCUUGUACACACCGCCCGUCACACCAUGGGAGUGGGUUGCAAAAGAAGUGGGUAGAUUAACCGCAAGGAGGUCGCUUACCACGGUAUGAUUCAUGACUGGGGUGAAGUCGUAACAAGGUAGCC